UGCCGUCAACAUCACCAUUAACUGAAGUGGAGGUUAAAGACAGAGGCUCACAGGGUCUCGGUUUCACUUUGUGAAUGUUGUUCGAAGGCAUUCUGGGAUUGGGUGAGAUUCCUAUUUACUGUAACGAUUCUACUGUCCAUGAUAAUUGGGAUCUCAAUAAAAUGGNGUAAUGAAUAAAAUGGUAACAGGGUGAUGAUACUUUGCUGGAUUAUUUGUCAAGGAUGUGGUUGUGUUUUUUACCCAACUGGGCUUCUGUUCUUUUGCACUUUUCUGGGUUUCUGGUCUUUUUUGGUUAUAGGAUCGUGAAGGGAUAGACGCUGGUGGGUUUCGGCUGGUAUUGAACAUAUUGUGUGUAUGUUGACUUGGGUACACAACGAUUUCCUUUGCUUUUUUUUUCUCUUCUUUUUUUUUGCUUAAGGCUGUGUGUGAUUUCUGGGAUUGAUGAUAGCGGCGCUAAGGAAAAGGUUCAUGAUAGAGAUUCAAAAUGGGGAAGGUAGUGAUUCGGAUAAGGUUAUGCUUGGAUUGGAAUAGUAGUUUCGACGAAGAGUGAAUGGUAGCAGGAUCACUCAUGCUCUCUGUAUACCCUUCCUAAGUUUAUUUCCUGGCAAUUGUUGAUGGGUUUGGUUCGAAAGGAAAAGAAAAUAGGAGAAGCAAUGAUGAAGGUGAAAACAAAAUGAUCCACUUCGGUCAUAGAAGACAGUGGGUGAAGAGGAAGAANAGUUUAUCCAGUAACAAAUAUGAAUAGAAACAUCGUGACUUCAACCAUACCAUAUGCAAUUCAUCUCCUAUGCAAAUGAGCUGUGAUUACCAAAAUAAGCUUACCUCCGAUAUCAGUGUACUAUGGCCUGGAUGAUGCUCUGCUUUUCCGAUGAUGCUCUCUGUAGAUAGUCUUCCUCCUUUUGUCAAAACCCUUCUUCUCGAUCACUUCUCUGUUUUUCUCCAAAAACUUUUUCGAAUCUUUUUUCUAACCGUUUCUGCUCAUUCCCCCUUGGCCAAAAUUCCUUUGUCCCCCCAUUAUCCACCUCACCUCAUUCACGUUUUGUUUUUUUUUAUUUUCUUUUUCUGUUUUUUUUUUCA
This 1077-nucleotide long non-coding RNA is filed under the name Vigna radiata. Its description in RNAcentral is "long non-coding RNA (VRAD_LNC008236)". The record is from RNAcentral. Lineage: Eukaryota; Viridiplantae; Streptophyta; Magnoliopsida; Fabales; Fabaceae.